AUUUCCCUAGUAUCAACGAGUACGGUUGACUUCCAAUCAACUAGUUCUGGUCCACCCCAGAGAGAAAUA
Molecule: transfer RNA, 69 nt
Filed under: Mellivora capensis (ratel)
Lineage: Eukaryota; Metazoa; Chordata; Mammalia; Carnivora; Mustelidae
Description: tRNA-Gly
Source: RNAcentral